Molecule: ribosomal RNA, 636 nt
Filed under: Escherichia coli
Lineage: Bacteria; Pseudomonadati; Pseudomonadota; Gammaproteobacteria; Enterobacterales; Enterobacteriaceae
Description: partial 23S ribosomal RNA
Rfam family: Bacterial large subunit ribosomal RNA
Source: RNAcentral
GGAAAGGCGCGCGAUACAGGGUGACAGCCCCGUACACAAAAAUGCACAUGCUGUGAGCUCGAUGAGUAGGGCGGGACACGUGGUAUCCUGUCUGAAUAUGGGGGGACCAUCCUCCAAGGCUAAAUACUCCUGACUGACCGAUAGUGAACCAGUACCGUGAGGGAAAGGCGAAAAGAACCCCGGCGAGGGGAGUGAAAAAGAACCUGAAACCGUGUACGUACAAGCAGUGGGAGCACGCUUAGGCGUGUGACUGCGUACCUUUUGUAUAAUGGGUCAGCGACUUAUAUUCUGUAGCAAGGUUAACCGAAUAGGGGAGCCGAAGGGAAACCGAGUCUUAACUGGGCGUUAAGUUGCAGGGUAUAGACCCGAAACCCGGUGAUCUAGCCAUGGGCAGGUUGAAGGUUGGGUAACACUAACUGGAGGACCGAACCGACUAAUGUUGAAAAAUUAGCGGAUGACUUGUGGCUGGGGGUGAAAGGCCAAUCAAACCGGGAGAUAGCUGGUUCUCCCCGAAAGCUAUUUAGGUAGCGCCUCGUGAAUUCAUCUCCGGGGGUAGAGCACUGUUUCGGCAAGGGGGUCAUCCCGACUUACCAACCCGAUGCAAACUGCGAAUACCGGAGAAUGUUAUCACGGGAG